Molecule: long non-coding RNA, 319 nt
Filed under: Mytilus galloprovincialis (Mediterranean mussel)
Lineage: Eukaryota; Metazoa; Mollusca; Bivalvia; Mytilida; Mytilidae
Source: RNAcentral
UUCGUGGGUUUUUAAAUUCAUGGAUUUUAGUUUUCUAAAAAAAAUAAUUGCAAAAUUAAAGCUUUUAGAAACGAAGGUUACAAAUAGUCUGGAUUGAAGGAAAUUGCAAAGUAAACAUUGACCCGUGUAAAUCAUAGUGAUAACACUUAUUAACCCAUGAUACAGUGAUCAACAGAUUAAAGACCAUCAAAGGUGUUAAUUAGGCCAUAAACAUGUCACCUAUUGAAAAUUGUUACAUAAACAAAUGCUUUAAACGUAUCUUGAAUUGUCAAAUAAUUCUUAUCAAAAUCAAGCCCACCAUGAAAUUAUUAUUUUCCAU